This 1163-nucleotide long non-coding RNA is filed under the name Musa acuminata (dwarf banana). RNAcentral describes it as "long non-coding RNA (MACU_LNC006737)". Lineage: Eukaryota; Viridiplantae; Streptophyta; Magnoliopsida; Zingiberales; Musaceae. The record is from RNAcentral.
UAUCCUCUUUUCACCUCUUUUCUUUUUUUCCCUAUUUGUCUUCCAAUCAAUGUAAAACUGAGAUGUGUAAAUUGCAAAAUAAUUAAAAAAUAUCCUUACAUACUUAAGUCUCAUGACCCACUUAAAUCUGAGACACAGGGUUUAUCAUAGACCUUUUCUGGUUUUCCCUUUGUCCCCUCUUCCUCAUCCUCUCUCUCUUUCUAUCUUAGGAACAACCAUGGCAGGCGCAGGCACCAGGUACACUUCAUUCUCCUUGUCCUUUUUAUUUCAAUUUUAGAAAGCCAAUUACCACCAACAGAUAAUAUCCUUGCAGUUACCAUUGCUUCUCUCCAUUUUCUACUUUUGUUGUUGUUAUUCACCAACAGACCAAUCAGAAAAAAUCAUAUUAGCUGGUUCCGUACAAGAUCAGUGGAGGCUGAAUGACUCUCACAAAUUUAGACUCAUCUUGUACAAAUACUUAGUCAUUUGAACAUAUACAGUGGCCAAACUGGUAUGUUCGAGCAUCAUAACAAGUAUUCUCACCCUUUUUACGAAAAAAUGUAGCAUGCAUGGGCCUCACAAAUUUAGACUCAUCUUGUACAAAUACUGUCAUUUGAACAUAUACAGUCGCCAAACUGCUAUGUUCGAGAAUCAUAACAAGUAUUCUCACCCUUUUUACAAAAAAAUGUAGCAUGCAUGGGCCAUUGUAGAAGGUAUGUCCUAAAGGAUACAUGUUUAGUGCAAGGAUUGGCCUCAAUAAGACAAAAUGGGAACUAGGGACCUAUUGCCACAUCUUAUCCUCAUGGUCGGCCUAACCAACUUUCAGCUAAAUUAAGCAGCAUUGAUCAAUCUUUAAAGGUGAAUCUUCUAGAAAGAAUGUGAUCACCCCUUCAGAUUUCAACUAAGCACCAGCACCAACAACUUGACGGCGCAAGGAUUGGCCUAGAUAACACAAAAUGGGAACAAUGAUCUUAUUGCCACAGCUCAUCCUCAUGGUCUGCCUAACCAACUUUCAGCUAAAUUAAGCAGUAUUGAUCAAAGUUGAAUCUUCUAGAAAGAAUGUGAUCACCCAAUGAGAGUUCAACUAAGCACCAGCACCAACAACAUGAUGGAUCCACCAAUUUUUACAAUGAAGAUUAUACUUCUGAUGUCAUUCGCUAUUAUAAUACCUGUUGUAUUUAUAC